CUCCAGAUGUUGCUGAACUACAACUCUCAUGAUUCUCAGCCUAUUUUCUUCAUAGAAUCAUGGGAGUUGUAGUUCAGCAACAUCUGGAG
Molecule: non-coding RNA, 89 nt
Organism: Pelobates cultripes (western spadefoot toad)
Lineage: Eukaryota; Metazoa; Chordata; Amphibia; Anura; Pelobatidae
Source: the annotation of a GenBank genome assembly